GCUAGCUCAGUUGGUAGAGCAUGGGACCCUUAAUCCCAGGGUCCUGGGUUCGAUCCCCACAUUUGGCA
Molecule: transfer RNA, 68 nt
Filed under: Balearica regulorum gibbericeps (East African grey crowned-crane)
Lineage: Eukaryota; Metazoa; Chordata; Aves; Gruiformes; Gruidae
Description: Balearica pavonina gibbericeps tRNA
Rfam family: tRNA
About the family: Transfer RNA (tRNA) molecules are approximately 80 nucleotides in length. Their secondary structure includes four short double-helical elements and three loops (D, anti-codon, and T loops).
Source: Rfam by way of RNAcentral